AAAAAAAAAAAAAAAAUCAAAUGAUCAGAAAGUUUUGCACCCUUAAUGGCACACAGUUAAAAGAAUAUUGAAUCACAAGGUGGUAAAUGGCAAGUCAUUUUGGGUUUCAUUUUUUGAUGCUGUACAUAGUUAUUCAUCAUGUUAAUGUACAAAAAAGAAAUUUAAUUAGAGUCUUCUUGUGCAUUUAUUCUAAAAUUAUUUACCAGAAAAAGAGAUGAAUAUUUUAUAUUGUCUAUUCCAUCAAUUAUUUUUUGUUCAUUGUGCAUCUAUUAAAAGAAAUAAAAAAAAAAUUCUAAUUAAUUUAUAUUUCGUAAAUCAAUUCACUUAAAAUAAAACUUUUAAAAUCAAAUAAGAUUUAAUUUUUUAAUUGAAAUUAUAUUUUCCGAAUCAAAUUUAAAUAUAUCAAUUUUCAGUCGAAUCACAUAAAUCAUUUUUUAUUAAAUUAUUUCUGGUUGAAUACGAAUUUGAACGUAUUAUGAAUCAUUUCAAGUAGAUCAACCAACUGUUAGAAGUAAACAAUUGUCAUCUCCCAACAAUAUACAAAACUUACAAGAAUGUUGAGUUUUCCAUUA
Molecule: unclassified non-coding RNA, 572 nt
Filed under: Hevea brasiliensis (rubber tree)
Lineage: Eukaryota; Viridiplantae; Streptophyta; Magnoliopsida; Malpighiales; Euphorbiaceae
Source: RNAcentral